RNAcentral lists this ribosomal RNA (489 nucleotides) under uncultured bacterium. Its description in RNAcentral is "bacterial SSU rRNA". It matches the Rfam family "Bacterial small subunit ribosomal RNA", at positions 32 to 494 of the family's 1533-position model. The record is from RNAcentral.
AAUCAACGCUGGCGGCGUGCCUAACACAUGCAAGUCGAACGCGAAAGGGGAGCAAUCCCUGAGUAGAGUGGCAAACGGGUGAGUAACACGUGGGUGACCUGCCUUCGAGUGGGGGAUAACGUUCCGAAAGGAACGCUAAUACCGCAUGACAUCCUGCUUUUGGAGAAGCGGAGAUCAAAGCUGGGGAUUCGCAAGAACCUAGCGCUUGAAGAGGGGCCCGCGCCUGAUUAGCUAGUUGGUGGGGUAACGGCUCACCAAGGCUUCGAUCAGUAUCCGGCCUGAGAGGGCGGACGGACACACUGGGACUGAGACACGGCCCAGACUCCUACGGGAGGCAGCAGUGGGGAAUUGUUCGCAAUGGGCGCAAGCCUGACGACGCAACGCCGCGUGGAGGAUGAAGAUUUUCGGAUCGUAAACUCCUGUCGAGUGGGAAGAAUAGCUUCCGGGCGAAUAUCCCGGAAGUCUGACGGUACCANCUAAAGAAGCCCC